AUCUAAACUCGUGUUCCUUCUUCUCAAUUAAAUAAGGAAGGAUAUUAGUAGCAGUGAUAGUAUAUGGACAUCUCUCUAUAAAUUGUUGCAUGCAAGAAUGAACUGAUACAACACAAAUUGAAUAUAAUUAAGCUGUUAAUAACAAACAAACAAUUCUAGUUGUUUCUUUCUUUUGAUCAAACAAUGGCUUAUGUUAAGCUCGCUAUUUUCGCUGUCUUCCUGCUUACCGCAUUCCUAAUAUUCCCGAUGAAAAACGCAAAAGAAAGUUGUUCGGUCGUAGGUCGUCAUUGUUCACUAUAUGGGGCGCCACCAUGCAGCGGUGGAUAUUGUUAUUGUAGACCAUGGGCUUUGGGAUUAUAUGUGGGUUUUUGCGCAAGUCUGUAAUGAAUCAUAUAUAGGCCCCGAAGAAUAUAAUAAUCCAAGUUUCAUUAGUUAAGUUAGGUGAUUAAUCAUGUUUUAGAAUGAUCUAGAUGAAAUGAAUUGACAAGUUAUUGGUUAGUUUGUUAGGAUUAACCAAGCCUAUAAAUAAAUGCAUGAGGUGAAUAUAAUGAUCAAGCAAAAUAAAUGAAAAGAGUUAGUUAUGUUAGCUUAGUGUAGUUUGUUAAUAAUUUUUAGCAAUCAUCCAUUCCAUUUAUGAACAACUAAAAAAUUGUUCAUAAGAAUUGGUGCUCUCAUUUCCAUGAAUUCCCCUCCCUACCAUUACUACCUUGACUAUGAUCCUACUAUCAUCAACACUAGCUCAUACCUUGUUGAAACCUCAAGCUUAUCAACACUCAACCUACAUCAACACUCCACCACCACACUUGAGCCAAUACAUUUCUCCACCAUCCAUGAACACUCAUAUUUCACCAACACUCAUAUUUCAUUACCUCACCUCCAUGAUGACCUCAGAUCCGGUCUCCAACAACUGUUCCAAAGUCAACAAAAAAUCCAACAAAAAUUUCAAAUGAAGUCAAACUAGUUGCAAAUGAAAGCUAACAUCCAUAGCUACAACUCUCAUGAAGACAUGAAAUUCCAAUUCGGAGUGAAAUAUAACUCAAUUCUUCGUUUUUCUCCCAGGCGCUAUCUUGCCACGCCUAGGCGCAACUCUGGUCACUCCAACAUGAUUCAACACUGCCUUGUCAUGCCCAGGCGCCACUCUAUCACGCCUAGCCAUAGAUCUGAUUUCUGUUUGCCACGUCAGCCACGCCCAGGCACCACUCUGCUUCGCCCAGACGCAGAUCCUGCGUUUUUAAUGUCUAUAUAAGCCCAAAAGUCAUAUUUUAUUAGGGUUAUGAGAUUUUUACAUAUAAUUAAGAAAAACACUCUGCUAGGAUUUGAGAGAAGUCGUUGUUCGACAACAAACAUUGGAAUUGAAGCUUCUCAACAUCGAUCUUAUAUGUAAUUCUUCCACUUUUCUUGAUUAUUUGUAAUUUCUCAUGAGUAAUUAAGUUCUCUAUUGUUAGGGAUAUUAUCUCAAUAAAGUGCUUUCAUAAGCUA
Molecule: long non-coding RNA, 1479 nt
Organism: Trifolium pratense (red clover)
Lineage: Eukaryota; Viridiplantae; Streptophyta; Magnoliopsida; Fabales; Fabaceae
Exons: 3
Source: RefSeq, a predicted model, not a curated record